GAUGAACGCUGGCGGCGUGCCUAAUACAUGCAAGUCGAGCGAACGGACGAGAAGCUUGCUUCUCUGAUGUUAGCGGCGGACGGGUGAGUAACACGUGGAUAACCUACCUAUAAGACUGGGAUAACUUCGGGAAACCGUAGCUAAUACCGGAUAAUAUUUUGAACCGCAUGGUUCAAAAGUGAAAGACGGUCUUGCUGUCACUUAUAGAUGGAUCCGCGCUGCAUUAGCUAGUUGGUAAGGUAACGGCUUACCAAGGCAACGAUGCAUAGCCGACCUGAGAGGGUGAUCGGCCACACUGGAACUGAGACACGGUCCAGACUCCUACGGGAGGCAGCAGUAGGGAAUCUUCCGCAAUGGGCGAAAGCCUGACGGAGCAACGCCACGUGAGUGAUGAAGGUCUUCGGAUCGUAAAACUCUGUUAUUAGUGAAGAACAUAUGUGUAAGUAACUGUGCACAUCUUGACGGUACCUAAUCAGAAAGCCACGGCUAACUACGUG
RNAcentral lists this ribosomal RNA (497 nucleotides) under uncultured bacterium. Its description in RNAcentral is "partial 16S ribosomal RNA". It matches the Rfam family "Bacterial small subunit ribosomal RNA", at positions 28 to 507 of the family's 1533-position model. The record is from RNAcentral.